This is a non-coding RNA of Halomonas sp. PBN3, 283 nucleotides long. The record is from Rfam. Lineage: Bacteria; Pseudomonadati; Pseudomonadota; Gammaproteobacteria; Oceanospirillales; Halomonadaceae.
UCCUCUACCUGCUGGGGACAGAUGAAGUGGAUAUGCGCAUCGAUGCCGCCGGCGGUCAGGAUCCUGCCCUCGCCGGCGAUGAUCUCGGUGCCGGGGCCGAUGACGAUCUCCACGCCGGGCUGGGUGUCGGGGUUGCCCGCCUUGCCGAUGGCGGCGAUCCGUCCGGCCCGGAUGCCCACGUCCGCCUUGACGAUGCCCCACCAGUCGAGGAUCAGGGCGUUGGUGAUCACGGUGUCCAUCACGCCGUCGUCAUGGCGCUGGCUCUGGCCCAUGCCAUCGCGGA